RNAcentral lists this ribosomal RNA (550 nucleotides) under uncultured bacterium. RNAcentral describes it as "bacterial SSU rRNA". It matches the Rfam family "Bacterial small subunit ribosomal RNA", at positions 355 to 896 of the family's 1533-position model. The record is from RNAcentral.
UAGGGAAUCUUCCGCAAUGGGCGAAAGCCUGACGGAGCAACGCCGCGUGAGUGAUGAAGGUCUUCGGAUCGCAAAACUCUGUUAUUAGGGAAGAACAUAUGUGUAAGUAACUGUGCACAUCUUGACGGUACCUAAUCAGAAAGCCACGGCUAACUACGUGCCAGCAGCCGCGGUAAUACGUAGGUGGCAAGCGUUAUCCGGAAUUAUUGGGCGUAAAGCGCGCGUAGGCGGUUUUUUAAGUCUGAUGUGAAAGCCCACGGCUCAACCGUGGAGGGUCAUUGGAAACUGGAAAACUUGAGUGCAGAAGAGGAAAGUGGAAUUCCAUGUGUAGCGGUGAAAUGCGCAGAGAUAUGGAGGAACACCAGUGGCGAAGGCGACUUUCUGGUCUGUAACUGACGCUGAUGUGCGAAAGCGUGGGGAUCAAACAGGAUUAGAUACCCUGGUAGUCCACGCCGUAAACGAUGAGUGCUAAGUGUUAGGGGGUUUCCGCCCCUUAGUGCUGCAGCUAACGCAUUAAGCACUCCGCCUGGGGAGUACGACCGCAAGGUUG